Non-coding RNA from Manacus vitellinus (golden-collared manakin), 72 nucleotides. The record is from Rfam. NCBI's taxonomy places the organism in Eukaryota, Metazoa, Chordata, Aves, Passeriformes, Pipridae.
CCCCUGGUGGUCUAGUGGUUAGGAUGCAGUGCUCUCACCACCACGGUCCAGGUUCGAUUCCCGGUCAGGGAA